GACGAACGCUGGCGGCGUGCUUAACACAUGCAAGUCGAACGGAAAGGCCCUGCUUUUGUGGGGUGCUCGAGUGGCGAACGGGUGAGUAACACGUGAGUAACCUGCCCUUGACUUUGGGAUAACUUCAGGAAACUGGGGCUAAUACCGGAUAGGAGCUCCUGCUGCAUGGUGGGGGUUGGAAAGUUUCGGCGGUUGGGGAUGGACUCGCGGCUUAUCAGCUUGUUGGUGGGGUAGUGGCUUACCAAGGCUUUGACGGGUAGCCGGCCUGAGAGGGUGACCGGCCACAUUGGGACUGAGAUACGGCCCAGACUCCUACGGGAGGCAGCAGUGGGGAAUAUUGCACGAUGGGCGGAAGCCUGAUGCAGCAACGCCGCGUGCGGGAUGAAGGCCUUCGGGUUGUAAACCGCUUUCGCCUGUGACGAAGCGUGAGUGACGGUAAUGGGUAAAGAAGCACCGGCUAACUACGUG
Molecule: ribosomal RNA, 468 nt
Filed under: uncultured bacterium
Lineage: Bacteria
Description: partial 16S ribosomal RNA
Rfam family: Bacterial small subunit ribosomal RNA
Source: RNAcentral